RNAcentral lists this unclassified non-coding RNA (332 nucleotides) under soil metagenome. Its description in RNAcentral is "partial contains 5.8S ribosomal RNA, internal transcribed spacer 2, and large subunit ribosomal RNA". The stretch from base 1 to 120 matches the Rfam family "5.8S ribosomal RNA", at positions 35 to 154 of the family's 154-position model. The record is from RNAcentral.
GAUGAAGAACGCAGCGAAAUGCGAUAAGUAAUGUGAAUUGCAGAAUUCAGUGAAUCAUCGAAUCUUUGAACGCACAUUGCGCCCGCCAGUAUUCUGGCGAGCAUGCCUGUUCGAGCGUCAUUUCAACCAUCAAGCCCCAGGCUUGUGUUGGAGCCCUGCGGCUGCCGCAGCCUCCCAAAACCAGUGGCGGGCUCGUCGUCGUACCGAGUGCAGUAAACAUCCUCGCUCAGGGAACGUGACGGGUUCUUGCCGUGAAACCCCCCACAUAUCAAGGUUGACCUCGGAUCAGGUAGGAAUACCCGCUGAACUUAAGCAUAUCAAUAAGCGGAGGA